GAAUAUUAGUCAAAAUGCUGUCACCCGUGACCAAUUAUGGAUCUAUAAAAGUGAAAUCUAAUUUCAUAAAUAAUUCACUUAAUGCACGCAAUAAAUAUGUUGUCUAGAUGAAAUAGCAGUGAGUAAAGCAUGUGACCCAGCUCUCUGUAGACCCACUGCUGUUCACACAUCAGAGCUCCUCUAACUGUGUGUGACAGGAUUUGUAUAGAGGAAGGGGCUUUGCAUACCUGUCCUGCCUCACUGCUCCACACACUUUAAGGCCCCCAGCACUGAUUGGUGACUGUCCAGUCCUUUCACAGACACUGACACAGGCAGCAUUAUGAUGAUGUCAAACCUUCUACUGCUGGUGAUGCUGGGACUCCUUGUACAAGAAUCGAUGGCAGAUAUAGAGCUGACUCAGGAUCCAGCAGCUCAGUCUGUUCAGCUGGGAGACACUGUCUCUAUCAGCUGUACAGCCAGUCAGAGUGUUUACAAAAACUCCAACGGCGAGCACCUCUACUGGUAUCUGCAGAAACCUGGUCAGGCUCCUAAACUUCUGAUUUAUUUUGCCACAACUCGCCAGUCUGGGAUUCCUGAUCGUUUCAGUGGGAGUGGAUCUGGGAAUCAGUUUACACUGAAAAUCACUGGAGUCCAGGCUGAAGAUGCAGGAGAUUAUUACUGUCAGAGUUACCACAGUGGUGGUGUGUUCACACAGUGAUACAGAGCCAUACAAAAACCUCCCUCAGUCAGACUGCACAGAGACUGCACUGCUGCAGCUGGGACCUACUGCAGGUGCUGAGGGGGGAGCCACUCACCCGAGACAUUGAGGGGCUUUGCUCGAAAACAUUGAGCUUCA
Anguilla rostrata (American eel) is the source of this 835-nucleotide non-coding RNA. The record is from the annotation of a RefSeq genome assembly. NCBI's taxonomy places the organism in Eukaryota, Metazoa, Chordata, Actinopteri, Anguilliformes, Anguillidae.